CGGCUGCUGCACGACCCGUCAGGUUGGAACGUCCCUGCGGCCAAUACAAAUCCUCUUGGGAGCUGUCUCUACCGGAGCCUUGGUUCCGGCAUAUGGUGCCCACCUGCACUUGCAGGCCACAGAGGAGACGCUGAACCAACGAUCGCGGCGGCACCGU
This 157-nucleotide non-coding RNA is filed under the name Alphaproteobacteria bacterium. RNAcentral describes it as "6S RNA". It matches the Rfam family "6S / SsrS RNA". Rfam says of the family: E. coli 6S RNA was the first non coding RNA to be sequenced, but its function was unknown until recently. The record is from RNAcentral. Lineage: Bacteria; Pseudomonadati; Pseudomonadota; Alphaproteobacteria.